Long non-coding RNA from Alligator mississippiensis (American alligator), 358 nucleotides. RefSeq lists it as uncharacterized. The transcript is spliced from 3 exons. The record is from RefSeq and is a predicted model, not a curated record. NCBI's taxonomy places the organism in Eukaryota, Metazoa, Chordata, Crocodylia, Alligatoridae.
UGUUCCGACUUCCUUUGCUCUCCUUCUGCAUAUCAUCCUGAAACUAAAAUUUCCUGCUCAGUGCACUGAGAAGAUCCACCCCUGGAUAGUAGUAGCUUCAAUUACUGUAAAAUAAGACUGAGCAGUAAAGUAAUCUUUUAGGAAGGCACAUGGUUUGGAGACUGCUGGAUUGUACUGGAACAGAUUCCUGAUUUUAAAUCAUUGGAGAAAAUUGCAGCAGAUUUAGCUUGACUGUCAGGAGUGGAACCAGAGGUCGAAUGAAUGACUCCCAGCAAUGCUGCUUCAAGCUGGUGGAGCAGAGCUGCUCUGUGGGGACCCCAGGAGCUUUGAGAAAGCACCCUCCACCCAGACCCCAGGU